UAGAGACAACACCUACAUAACUAACUGAAUAUGGAGAACUAGAGCUGGUGCCUACCUAGAGCUUUUACCCUUACUGAGUAGUAAUAUCUAAAGGCUAAGGAAAAGGCAAACAUCAACCCAGCUACAAACUCCUCAGUCCACGAUGGUGACCUACCUGCAAGACAUGCUUAUGCAAUAGUGUCACAAAGCUGGUGGGACUAACCAACCAAUAUUGGAUUGGGUUUAAGACGCACUCCAUGAGAUGCAACCCAUCCCCAACACUGCUCAGAUCAGCGUCUCACUCAGCCACCAUCGGAGAAGCUUCCUCCUGCAGCAGAUGGGAGCUAAUACAGAGACCCACAUCUGAGCAAUGUGCAAGAGUGAGACACUGCAGAACCCUCAAUUCUAAAUGGGUUGUCUCCACCAAAUCCCUCCUCUCAAGGCCCAGGGAGCCCAACUGAAGAAGAGUGUAAGCAUCAGAGGGGAUGCAGGACACCAGUGAAACAAGGCUUUCUAAACACAGCAGAACCAAUCACACAUGAACUCAGAGACUGCACAGGGUCUGCAGGGGUCUGGGCCUGAUGGUCCCACUGCUGAGAAGCUAAGAAGCCCCAUCCCUAACUCAGAAGCUAGCUCCAAUUGAUGACCACUUACAAAUGAAAUAUUAGUUUUCUCUGAGGGAGUCUCACUGGGUAUACAGACCACACUGAAGGGCAGACCCUAUGCCCAGCAGUCGAUGGACAAGAUAAAACACACUCAAUGACAUUUUGGGAUUUUAAAAAUUUGUCUUAUAGUGCUUUAUUUGGGCCUCCUCCUCCUGCCCCCUCCUGUCUUCACAGGUCCUUAUGGUUUCUGGGAUUGUGUCUUUAUGGGAUUUCUGUGUGUUCAGACUGUAUGCAUCUACGACAUAAACAAAUGUCUGUGCGCCA
This is a long non-coding RNA of Mastomys coucha (southern multimammate mouse), 908 nucleotides long. RefSeq lists it as uncharacterized. The record is from RefSeq and is a predicted model, not a curated record. Lineage: Eukaryota; Metazoa; Chordata; Mammalia; Rodentia; Muridae. The transcript is spliced from 2 exons.